This 254-nucleotide ribosomal RNA is filed under the name uncultured bacterium. RNAcentral describes it as "partial 16S ribosomal RNA". It matches the Rfam family "Bacterial small subunit ribosomal RNA", at positions 524 to 776 of the family's 1533-position model. The record is from RNAcentral.
UACGUAGGGUGCGAGCGUUGUCCGGAAUUAUUGGGCGUAAAGAGCUCGUAGGCGGUGUGUCACGUCGAUCGUGAAAACUUACAGCUUAACUGUGAGCGUGCGGUCGAUACGGGCAUCACUGGAGUUCGGCAGGGGAGACUGGAAUUCCUGGUGGAGCGGUGAAAUGCGUAGAGAUCGGAAAGAACACCAACGGCGAAAGCACUCUGCUGGGCCGACACUGACACUGAGAGACGAAAGCUAGGGGAGCGAAUGGG